GAUGAACGCUGGCGGCGUGCCUAAUACAUGCAAGUCGAGCGAACAGACGAGGAGCUUGCUCCUCUGACGUUAGCGGCGGACGGGUGAGUAACACGUGGAUAACCUACCUAUAAGACUGGGAUAACUUCGGGAAACCGGAGCUAAUACCGGAUAAUAUAUUGAACCGCAUGGUUCAUUAGUGAAAGACGGUUUUGCUGUCACUUAUAGAUGGAUCCGCGCCGCAUUAGAUAGUUGGUAAGGUAACGGCUUACCAAGGCGGCGAUGCGUAGCCGACCUGAGAGGGUGAUCGGCCGCACUAGAACUGAGACACGGUCCAGACUCCUACGGGAGGCAGCAGUAGGGAAUCUUCGGCAAUGGGCGAAAGCCUGACGGAGCGACGCCGCGUGAGUGAUGAAGGUCUUCGGAUCGUAAAACUCUGUUAUUAGGGAAGAACAAAUGUGUAAGUAAAUAUGCACGUCUUGACGGUAACUAAUCAGAAAGCCACGGCUAACUACGUG
This 497-nucleotide ribosomal RNA is filed under the name uncultured bacterium. RNAcentral describes it as "partial 16S ribosomal RNA". It matches the Rfam family "Bacterial small subunit ribosomal RNA", at positions 28 to 507 of the family's 1533-position model. The record is from RNAcentral.